CUACGGGUGGCAGCAGUGGGGAAUAUUGGACAAUGGGCGAAAGCCUGAUCCAGCCAUGCCGCGUGUGUGAAGAAGGCCUUCGGGUUGUAAAGCACUUUCAGUGGGGAAGAAAGCCUUGGGGCUAAUACCCUCGAGGAAGGACAUCACCCACAGAAGAAGCACCGGCUAACUCCGUGCCAGCAGCCGCGGUAAUACGGAGGGUGCGAGCGUUAAUCGGAAUUACUGGGCGUAAAGCGCGCGUAGGCGGUCUGAUAAGCCGGUUGUGAAAGCCCCGGGCUCAACCUGGGAACGGCAUCCGGAACUGUCAGGCUAGAGUGCAGGAGAGGAAGGUAGAAUUCCCGGUGUAGCAGUGAAAUGCGUAGAGAUCGGGAGGAAUACCAGUGGCGAAGGCGGCCUUCUAGACUGACACUGACGCUGAGGUGCGAAAGCGUGGGUAGCAAACAGGAUUAGAUACCCCAGUAGUC
Molecule: ribosomal RNA, 464 nt
Filed under: Vreelandella stevensii
Lineage: Bacteria; Pseudomonadati; Pseudomonadota; Gammaproteobacteria; Oceanospirillales; Halomonadaceae
Description: partial 16S ribosomal RNA
Rfam family: Bacterial small subunit ribosomal RNA
Source: RNAcentral